Molecule: long non-coding RNA, 753 nt
Filed under: Mus musculus (house mouse)
Lineage: Eukaryota; Metazoa; Chordata; Mammalia; Rodentia; Muridae
Description: predicted gene 45842
Source: RNAcentral
CCAAGCUGCCGCUGGCCGGCCAGUACAGCUUGAGGAAACAGCCCUAUAACAACCUCAAGCACAAGUUCCCGUGGCUCUCAGAGGCCGGACUCCGUCUGCUCAACUUCCUCUUCAUGUAUGACCCUAAGAAAAGGGCAACCUCGGGAGACUGCCUGGAGAGCUCCUACUUCAAGGAGAAGCCCCUGCCCAGCCACAAAAUGACAAGCUGGUACUCGACAAGGCCAAGGCCACGUUUAGUGAACUCUUGCAGCCCCAUGGUAACAAGCACUGGGAUAAAGGAAUUCAAGUCAGGCGUCUCCUGGGUGCUGCCGGAACCAAAAGAAGUUGGACUUCAAGGUGGAGGCAUAGGCUCAACAUCAUGCCGAGGAAAUCCAAAGCGAUGCCGGGAGAGGUUGGAACACAAGUGUUCAAUAAAUGCCCAAUAACCAAGUUACAUCUAGCCUGACUCCAAGAGGCUCCAACGACCCCACUACUACUGCCGUCUGGGACUGGAAACUCCCCCGUGUCCUGCCACCACCUCCUCACAGCAACCCCAGCUGCCAUGGGUAUUUCCUUUCUUGGGUGGGUCAGCUCGCCUCCGUGGAAGAUGCUGCCUGUGCUCGGAUGCCAGCAUCACCCUAGGGCCCCAGCAGAACCAAAGGGCAUCGCUGUGUGGGACAGUCCAUUGUGUGUGAGAGUAGGCUGAAGAUUACUCAGGCGCCUUCAGGGAACUGCUGUGGGCUCAGGACUACAGUAAUGACUCAAUUCCAGCCG